Non-coding RNA from Pelobates cultripes (western spadefoot toad), 263 nucleotides. Lineage: Eukaryota; Metazoa; Chordata; Amphibia; Anura; Pelobatidae. The record is from the annotation of a GenBank genome assembly.
AGGGACUCAGAGUCCCUUAGAAUCUCAGAAGUGCCUCUAGUGGCGGUCUGAUAGCCAGUGGAGGCAGUCUAAGUCCUUAAAGGUAAUUGUUGCAAGUUGACAUAUCACAUUAAAGUACAUGAAAGAUUCUAUGAUGCCGUGACAACGCAUGACAGCGGAUUGGUGGCUUCCCUUUGAUGAGGCAGACUCGCAACCAUUAGCACAGGCGUAUCUUAUUCCGCUAGGAGUUUGGAGGCCUUGCGCUGGGAAAUCAAUUAUGCCGG